CAAACAAUCGAUCCCACCACUCAAAGUGUUAGAUGUUCCCUCGGUGUACCAGGAACAUGGUGAUUUCGAUCUGGAAGCAGCUGCGGCGCUAGCGGCUCAAGUUGGCUGUACCGUGGAGGAAUUGCUGAGUGCCCGUGAUGCAGUACUACCCAUUGCUGAUAUAGCUCCUAAAUUUGUCUACGGGGCUGACUUGGUCAGCAAAGAGCGGCUGCAUAAACUGCCAACGCAUAUGCGGAAUUUGCAUCAGUGGUACCUUGAUGCGUGCAAGGAGAACACAAGUUACAUCGUGGCGGAUAUCCCAGAAGAUUAUUACUUCCGAAAGGAGGAGAUCCAUAUUGAGAUGAAUGAACUCUGGCAGUUAUUCAAUUUAGACUCCCUCGACAAAUCUCUCAUGAGUUGCUACUGCUUACUGAAGAUCAUUGAAUGCAGAAGUAAUAAGAUGUUCAAUGUUGGGUUUGUUGACCCAGAUAAAGUACAUCAUGACACGGUAAAGAAUAAUGCCGAAGAAACGGGGGAAACCUACUAAGGUUUAUAGGGGAGCAAAGCUUCUGUGAUUCAAUACUGUUUCCUUACAACUACAGUUUCCACUGGAUUCUGCUAAAUAUUCAAGUUGAUAAGGGAAUAGUUGAAGUAAGGGACCCAUUGAGUAGAGGCCUGGACGGGUUCCGCGACUUGCAGAAGAUUCUCCAGACGUAAUUUCAAUCAUUGCCGCGCUAUAUCUUUCGUGAGAUAUCAAUUAAUUAUCCACUCAUUCAAUCAUUCUUUUGCCUGGCAGGUGUUGGAGAGCUUUGAAGAAUAAUAUUGCGGGUAACUUCGCAGAGAAGCUAACAUUUACUCUUGUACCGUGCGCCCAGCAGCCACAGGGGACGAAUCUAUGUGGAUACUACGUUUGCGAGUCCAUUCGCAUGUUAACCACUGAGAAGCACAACGAUAAUAGAUUCAACGUCGACUUCAUGCGGGAGAAGCUCCAACCACACGAGCACAUACUAGGAAUUACGGAGGAAUUGGCGGGACUUCUAAUGAAAGAAGUAAUAGACGACAACGGCUUGUUUAGUCCAAAUAGGCGCAACAAAUGAUCC
Molecule: long non-coding RNA, 1079 nt
Organism: Lolium perenne
Lineage: Eukaryota; Viridiplantae; Streptophyta; Magnoliopsida; Poales; Poaceae
Source: RefSeq, a predicted model, not a curated record